Long non-coding RNA from Hippocampus comes (tiger tail seahorse), 1587 nucleotides. RefSeq lists it as uncharacterized. The transcript is spliced from 3 exons. The record is from RefSeq and is a predicted model, not a curated record. NCBI's taxonomy places the organism in Eukaryota, Metazoa, Chordata, Actinopteri, Syngnathiformes, Syngnathidae.
AUGCCCAGUGAUUGUCAGUAUUUAGCUCACGACUCCCAAGUGCCUACUUUUCGAGGCAUUCUUGACAUUUCUUUUGCCACAUAGCCUUGCCUUGUUAGUUCAUCGUAUGUUUUUGUUCUUUUUAUGACAAGUGAGAAUGUUAAAAGUGAGUCAUGACGCCUUGGGUCUCUUGUGUGUUUGUUCCGCCGAAGUACAGCAUCAUCAAAGGACAAAAUUCCGCUUUACCUCUCCCAGAUUCGGUGAUCUAUUUGCACCGUCGCAAGGAGGGAUCAUCAAGAUGGAUGAAAAUGGCUUAGGGAGAAGAAUGAGUGUGGUGGAAUUAAUUUGAAUAAAAUAAAUACAGAGUUAAGUACGCUGGGAAAAGUAAACACUGGUCUGGGUAAUCACAGUAAAUCUGUUCUGGAGUAGAGGGAUGGUGGUGGGGUGGGCAGCCAACGGUUUGUUCCUUGGAGGAGCUAACAAAGCCGGCGAGAACAGCUUUACUGAGAGAGGAUAAAGUCAGAGAGUGACGGCAAUGUCUGGCUGAGUUCAACUAUGUCAACAUCAGCGUGCAAUUCAAAGGGAGAAGAAAGCGAUCAAAGUACUCAAGGAACAUAUUUGGAAGGCGCUGGACUCUAAAGUACACUUUAUGUUCAUGAACUUGUAUGCUAGCUAAAGCUAGCUAGAUCUGGACAUAAUAUAACCCAAAGGAUUUUCACCACCCUCGUGGAGCCCCGACAGUGAGAUAAUGAAAAAAUGCUCAGGGCUGUAUUGCGAUUGAGCAUGAUGAUUUGAUAAAUGGAGCAGCUUGACACCCCCCCCCCCCAAAAAAAAACAAGGACCGCACAUCACUUAAGCCACCAGGCCCACUGCCUUUGCUUUUCACCGCCCUGCGUGAAAGUGUUUUCCUCGACUGUAACUGUAACUGUUAGUUGCUUCGUUGAAGCCCAAAAAUCAUUCAUAACCCGGCCACAUUUUGAUGGCAAGCGAUUUUUGAACCUGUUGAAUGGUUAUCAUCACACAAUAUUAUGGAAACAGGCUUUCGUACUUUGUGUAACUGCAUAUUAUUUAGUUUCCUCAAAAUGGGUUAAGAAUAAUUUCCAAAAUGUUACAAUAUAAAUGAUGAAUUUUUCUCUUGACUGUAGAUGCUUUGAUCUUUGUCACAUAUAGAACGGAUUGAAAAUACGGUGGCGUAAAGAGGAAAUCAAUUUAGAAAAGUCACGUUACAGAAGAUUCACCCAAUUCAUAUCCCAUUCAAAAACCAGUAAAUAACAAUUUUACAUGUUUUUACAUGUCUUUUUCAGAUUUACAAUCAUAUGAUGAAUUACAGAUCUUUGUUGCAAUUUACAUUUAUUGACGUUUUUAUGUAUCUGAGAACCAAUGAAUGGUUUUUAUGAGCUUCAUGGGGCCAAAAUUGAGAAACAUCGACUUUGUUGUCCCACUCUGUCUUAAUUAGACUUCUGUGCUUGAUUUGUGUACAACCAAGCAUUUUGCAUUCCAUGUUUUGGACAUCAAAUGUGUUCUUGUUGGAAAGCUGUUUUUCCCAUCGCUAUACUACAUCAGUCCAUUAAGAACAGAUGUCUGGAGCUUGUUUAUUGCGAAUAAAUA